RNAcentral lists this long non-coding RNA (2407 nucleotides) under Pogona vitticeps (central bearded dragon). Its description in RNAcentral is "lncRNA (ENSPVIG00000006092.1)". The record is from RNAcentral. Lineage: Eukaryota; Metazoa; Chordata; Lepidosauria; Squamata; Agamidae.
CUACUUUGUCCAGUUAUUAGCUGGUCCAAGAAAGGAAGUAAUGAGCCGCAUUUCCGAAAAUCGCAGUUGCAAUAUAACCUCGAUAAGUAUUCCUCCCGAGAAUCCAGGGUCGUUACUGUCAGAAAAUAUCACCCCGGAGGGCAUGGAAAGGGCCGUCUGGAGAAUAAUCACAGCUACGUAGAGAAGAGAGACGGUAAGUGCGAAACAUGGGAGUCGGAAGAACAAAUCGACCUGGACUCGUUCAAUGCCAACGUUUUCUUCGAAAUCCUGGUGACGCAGUCUCUGGCGGUUACAGCCAAACUGAGCCAAUUUAAGGAAGAGCUGAAAACCUUCUACCACAAACUUCUGGAGGAAAUAGCCCCACUCCGAGAUCUCUGGCUGGCGAGGGUGUGCCUCUCAGAGAGGACGGAACCAUAUGACGAAGUCUUGAUGGCAAACUACGCCAAAGCGAAACAGCAGGCAGAAGAGGACAUUCUGCGCCGGAGAUACCUGGCAGCAGAGUACGAAGAAAGCGUGACUAGACAGCUCCACUUACUGAGCCAGGAACUGAAAUGUCAAGAGGAACACUUCAUCGCAUUUCAUUCUGCUCUCCGGGAAGCAACCAGGUGGAUGGAGGCACUUGCCGAUACCCUGUCUUCUACAGAAGACCCUAAACAUGACCAUCACAGGCUAUUGAGCCUCAUCGAUGCUGCCAGUAGCCGGAUGUCCGGUGCAGUCCUUAAGGAGAGCAACAGGCUGAUGCUGUGGGGGAUUGCAGAAGGAGGCAUCGGGGCUCCCCUGCUCCACCCAGAGAAGAACAGAUUGCUCACCAAGGAGGAGCUUGUAGGGCCAGAUGGCGCUGUGAAGGCCCAUGAUCUUCUACACCAGGAUGCUACCACUGGACUAAUUGUACCCAACGAUGAGGUCGUCUUGUUGUUGGCCAACAAAUCCAUGAAGCUUAUAUCCACAGGUCAUUUUGUGCAUCCCGGCACUGGGAAAUUGCUUCCCGUAGCUGGAAAUGUCGGCUUCGAUCUCACCAGCUCUAAGCUCAUCCCUAUGGUGGAUGUAGUACCUGGAGAGGUUUGUCAUUCGGACCUUCCCGUCUUCCCCUACGUCCCGUUUCCCAUCUGCCCCAGCACUGGCCUGCCGGUGAAGACCAAUUUACCCGUCCUGCAGCCUGAGAAGGUGUUCAGACUGGGAGGCCUCAUGCACGAUCCCGCCUCGGGGAUGGAGGUGCCCAUCCUGGCCGUCACGAUCCACCCGCAGACGGGCCAGAAGCUGUCCUUGGGCGGGACGUACCUGAAUCCUCUGAUGGGGACCAUGAUGCCUCUUGAGAUUGGGGGACCCAUGAGGGCGCCGGAGGGAGACAAAAUUGUCCCCAUCCUCGGAGUCCACCUGGACAGUCACACAGGAGAUGUUCUUCCUGUGGGGGGCUUAAAGGACCCCUCGGGGAACCUCCUGCUUCUUGGGGACUCCUUUGUAGAGCCAUUGAGUGGGAAGACGGUUCGGGUGCAAGGAGCUUGCUUUCAGCAAGACAAGAUGGUCCCCCAUGCAGGAGGUUACCAGCUAGUCCAGGAUACCAACCUCCUGGUGGCCGAGAUCCAUGUGGCAAAGGCUCUGACAGAGUAUAAAAAGGCCCUCUGUGAGGAUCUGCGCCCUCCUGGAGAGGGACAGAAAGCCCUUAAAGAGACGGAAGAAAAGAUGAUGACAGCACAGGCCCAGAAGCUGGAUUAUUUGAUGCACCGCCUACAAAAUUCGGAGAAACAGCAAGAACAUGCUUCAAAUCUGAAGUGCACCGGUGGAAAACUCGGGAUGAUCAAAUACCCCGGCACAGAACUGUGGAUUCCUGCUGUGUUUGGCAUGAAGAUCCCAGAUCCUGGGGGUUCCGAUAUGAUGGUACCCCUCCUCGGAGUGGAAUGCAACUGGAAGACAGGGCAGCCAAUCCCCCUGGCUGGGACCAUGGAAGAUGCUGAUGGGAAAGGUCUGGUCCCUCUCGCUCUGGGCUUCAAGACCAUUGACCCCAUCACAGGGGAGACUGGGCCCGUGAUCGGGGCCGAAAUCAACCCCUGGACCAGCACUGUGGUGCCAAUCGUCCAGUCUCUAGGCAGUUUACCGAGAGGAAAUCCAGACCCAGAUUUGCUGGCUGCCUUGGAUAAGGAGACGGUUGCCAAACGGAGGUACUGGCAAAGCCAAAGAGAAAAGGAGGAAGAUCUGCUUAAAGAGUUGGAUUUCUUACACCUGGCGAUCCUGGAGGCAGCCGACAAGGGCAAGAUGAGGAAGGUGAGGUACAGGUAGGGCUGGCUGCCACGGAAACACAGAAUCACAGAACUGGACAGCUGGAAGGGACCCCCCCCCAAAGGCCAUCGCGCCCACGUCCCUGUUGAAGCAGGACGGACCUCCACCGCUCAAACCUCCUUGACAGGCAGCC